AGGUGUGCCUUAAAUUGGUCUCUAGGAAAAAGAAAGAGUCAACACACUAUUAGAGACAUAUGGACAAAUGUACUGAAUCCCUGCAUUGAUGGGAAAUACUCCUUGGACUCCAGGCAGGAGGACUGUGACAUGCGGCACUCCCCCAGCAGAUUUAGAAGAAUCCAAUGUCGUUUUAUGGAACCAACAAUGGGAGGAUGGACCAUACAACCUCUCUGAACAAGGAAGUUCAGGAUGGAGAGGUCCAUGUCCAAUCCUUCAGACUUCUAAGACAGUUCUGAGGUAAGCUCGUCUUUCCAAUACCGAUUUUGGAAUAUCCUCUCCCGCCCACCUUUACAAUUCAUGGACUGGGGUGGGGUAUCCAUACCUAUCCUAUACACACCUGCAGGCUUUCGGUUGUACUUGAAGACUUCACAGAACACCAGCUUGUUGGGGUCCUUGCGGAAAGGGUCCCGAAA
Orcinus orca (killer whale) is the source of this 455-nucleotide long non-coding RNA. RefSeq lists it as uncharacterized. The transcript has 2 exons. The record is from RefSeq and is a predicted model, not a curated record. Lineage: Eukaryota; Metazoa; Chordata; Mammalia; Artiodactyla; Delphinidae.